GAUAGUGUGGCCGAGUGGUCUAUGGCGCUUGUUUUAGGCACCAUUCUCUUCGAAGGCAUAGGUUCGGAUCCCUUCGCUGUCA
This is a non-coding RNA of Daphnia pulex (common water flea), 82 nucleotides long. NCBI's taxonomy places the organism in Eukaryota, Metazoa, Arthropoda, Branchiopoda, Diplostraca, Daphniidae. The record is from Rfam.